Molecule: long non-coding RNA, 319 nt
Filed under: Neogale vison (American mink)
Lineage: Eukaryota; Metazoa; Chordata; Mammalia; Carnivora; Mustelidae
Description: Neovison vison (American mink) lncRNA (ENSNVIG00000003063.1)
Source: RNAcentral
CUUUCAGGAGGAAGGCAUGAACUUAAUGACUAGAGAAGCAAUGCAUGAAUGGGAGGUACAAACUGCACUACGGAUAAGUCGGUCUUGGGAAGAGAGUUUGAACCUGGUGAAAUGCUAUUUGAAGAUCAGCCAAAGAAACUUUUCCAAGGCACUACCAGCAUGAUUUCUUCCGAUACUACUCAACAGUCUGAUAUGAAUGAAUAGGAGAAGAAUGGGGCUAGUCAGAUAUAGAAUCUUCCCAGUCUGCUCAAGGCUUCGCCAACCAAAGAGCCUCCGUCUGACACAUCAGAUCUGUAAAAUAAAAAAGAGGGCACCUUCA